This 253-nucleotide ribosomal RNA is filed under the name uncultured bacterium. RNAcentral's name for it is "partial 16S ribosomal RNA". It matches the Rfam family "Bacterial small subunit ribosomal RNA", at positions 524 to 776 of the family's 1533-position model. The record is from RNAcentral.
UACGUAGGUGGCAAGCGUUGUCCGGAUUUACUGGGUGUAAAGGGCGUGUAGCCGGGUUGACAAGUCAGAUGUGAAAUCCUGCGGCUUAACCGCAGAACUGCAUUUGAAACUGUUGAUCUUGAGUACUGGAGAGGCAGACGGAAUUCCUAGUGUAGCGGUGAAAUGCGUAGAUAUUAGGAGGAACACCAGUGGCGAAGGCGGUCUGCUGGACCGUGACUGACGUUGAGGCUCGAGAGCGUGGGGAGCAAACAGG